UACGGAGGGGACUAGCGUUGUUCGGAAUUACUGGGCGUAAAGCGCACGUAGGCGGAUUUGUAAGUCAGGGGUGAAAUCCCGGGGCUCAACCUCGGAACUGCCUUUGAUACUGCAAAUCUCGAGUCCGGAAGAGGUGAGUGGAAUUCCUAGUGUAGAGGUGGAAUUCGUAGAUAUUAGGAAGAACACCAGUGGCGAAGGCGGCUUACUGGUCCGGAACUGACGCUGAGGUGCGAAAGCGUGGGGAGCAAACAGG
RNAcentral lists this ribosomal RNA (253 nucleotides) under uncultured bacterium. RNAcentral describes it as "partial 16S ribosomal RNA". It matches the Rfam family "Bacterial small subunit ribosomal RNA", at positions 524 to 776 of the family's 1533-position model. The record is from RNAcentral.